UACGUAGGGGGCAAGCGUUGUCCGGAUUUAUUGGGCGUAAAGAGCGUGUAGGCGGCCAGGUAGGUCUGCUGUGAAAACUCGAGGCUCAACCUCGAGACGUCGGCGGAAACCCUCCAGCUAGAGUCCGGAAGAGGAGAGUGGAAUUCCUGGUGUAGCGGUGAAAUGCGCAGAUAUCAGGAAGAACACCCGUGGCUAAGGCGGCUCUCUAGUACGGUACUGACGCUGAGACGCGAAAGCGUGGGGAGCGAACAGG
This 253-nucleotide ribosomal RNA is filed under the name uncultured bacterium. RNAcentral describes it as "partial 16S ribosomal RNA". It matches the Rfam family "Bacterial small subunit ribosomal RNA", at positions 524 to 776 of the family's 1533-position model. The record is from RNAcentral.